RNAcentral lists this ribosomal RNA (292 nucleotides) under uncultured bacterium. RNAcentral describes it as "partial 16S ribosomal RNA". The record is from RNAcentral.
GGACUACCCGGGUAUCUAAUCCCGUUCGCUCCCCCAGCUUUCGCGUCUCAGCGUCAGAAGCAGGCCAGGAAGCCGCCUUCGCCACUGGCAUUCCUCCCGAUAUCUACGCAUUUCACCGCUACACCGGGAAUUCUACUUCCCUCUCCUGCCCUCGAGCCCGGCGGUCUCCCGCGACCUCCUACAGUUGAGCCGUAGGCUUUCACACGGGACUUACCAGGCCGCCUGCACGCGCUUUACGCCCAGUGAUUCCGGACAACGCUCGCCCCCUACGUCUUACCGCGGCUGCUGGCAC